Non-coding RNA from Phrynosoma platyrhinos (Desert horned lizard), 74 nucleotides. The record is from the annotation of a GenBank genome assembly. Lineage: Eukaryota; Metazoa; Chordata; Lepidosauria; Squamata; Phrynosomatidae.
AGCUAAGUGUGGUGUAGUGGUCUGAGUGUUGGACUGCAACUCUGGAUACCAGGGUUCAAUUCCCCGCUUGGCCA